Molecule: ribosomal RNA, 258 nt
Filed under: Mansonella perstans
Lineage: Eukaryota; Metazoa; Nematoda; Chromadorea; Rhabditida; Onchocercidae
Description: partial small subunit ribosomal RNA
Source: RNAcentral
GAAAAUUUUAAAAAUUUGGAUUAUUGAACUGGAUUAGUACCCAGGUAAUCAAAAUUAAUUAAUUCGGGAGUAAAGUUUUGUUUAAACCGAAAAAAUAUUGACUGACUCUGGAUUUCUUUUUGGAAUAUGUGUAUGGAGAGCCCUCUUUAAUAGUGAAUCUUUUUUUGCACAUGUAUGAUUGUUUAGUUUUUAUUUUGUUUUGUAAUGCUUUUUUUAGAUUUAAAACARAUAUAUACUUGGCUUAUGGGUUUAUUAAUC